Long non-coding RNA from Oryzias melastigma (Indian medaka), 1576 nucleotides. RefSeq lists it as uncharacterized. The record is from RefSeq and is a predicted model, not a curated record. Lineage: Eukaryota; Metazoa; Chordata; Actinopteri; Beloniformes; Adrianichthyidae. The transcript has 4 exons.
GGGUCAAGCAGAAGUCACUGCUGCUCAUUCUGGGAAAUCUUCUGGAGAAAUCCGUCAAAAACUGAAGAAACGGGAAGAUCUCUGUCUCCUCGGAGACUCUCAGCUUCUCUCCACGUUCAGUCUCAAACCCGUUCAUGUUUCCGAGACCAUAAAUUGAUUCUGAACCGGAUCACCACGUCGGUUCCUCCUCGGAUGGUUCUGUGGAUGAAGACCUGAAUCUCUGGUCCAGCAUGCUCCAGUUCUGGAGGGUUUCAGGUCAGAACCAGUGAAGCUGCAGCAACUGUUGAUGCUGGAGGAGGAUGGACUCGUCUCCUCCUGCAGGUCCGAUUGCUGCCUCGUCCCUGUGGUGCAGUGGACUCACAGUCGUAUUCCAGGAGGAUCAGACGUGUUUGUUCUCGUCUUGAUCUGUUCACAAGCAGGAUGGAAAAUGACUUUGACUUUCAGAAACUUCUCCUUUAAGGCUACACCUGUAGCCACGCCCCUUCGCUCGGCUCAAGUUUCCUCCAUGAGGAUGAUCCUCCUGUCAACCUGAGAAAAUAGCAGCUGCAGCUCCGCCGUCUCCGCUGGGGACCUCCAGCCGCCCUCUGGGUCCACAGACGCAGCAGAUCCCGACCGGAGCGCCUCUGCAGCUGUUUGAAGAACCAGCAGCUCCUUUUUGAUCAGCGCACCUUUUUGAUGAUGGCCGACCUUUCCCCGAGCAUCGCCGCCGUGUUUCCUCCUCGCUCUGAAACAAAGCUUCUGAUUUGACCUUUGCUCCAGGAUUCAUCCUUCAGCAGGUAAAACCCUGAGAGCUAAUCCUGCAUCCAGAGCUAAUCCUGCGUGAUGGGAGUGUAAACCUUCACACAUUUAAAUGGAGGAAUCUGCUGCCUGAGCUGCAGCUCUGCUCUCCUGUGGAGACGCUUGAACUCCACAGAAAAGGUCUCGUUUCCUCAGCCUGGAAACUCUGAGUAGAUUAAGACGGAACCAGCAGGAGCUUUAGAGUCUGAUCCGGAACCCAGAGGUUUCUCUGUCCUGAGCCAAAGCGUGGAUCAGGGAAUCCCUCAGAGAAGCAGCUCUUCGUGACUGAAGCGCUGCGACAUGAAGACAUCUUGUUUUUGGAGGGAAGAACGACACGGCGGCGUGGUUCUAACGCGGCGCCGCGAGGGGAAGCAGUGAUGACGCUCCUCUGGGGCUGAUGGGUCAAAGCUGGGAGUGAACGCCAGCAGCAUGCAGACGCUAGUGUUCAUCUGCAUGCCGACUGGACGCUGAUAAAUCAUGCGCUGACACUCGUUCUCAACGCCGCCAGAAUCUGUAAUUAUGCAGAAGAUCAGCAGCGGAACGGCGAGCGGACGCCACCAGCCGCCGCUUCCAUGGAGGGAAAGCAAACGGAUCGAUAAAGACGAGGAGAAAACAAAUGUGGACUUCUGUUCCACUGGAGAUCGUCUGGAGUCACGACUCCGACCGAGUUCUUGAGCUUUCACUCACUGAAGAAACGGAGUCUGAAGAGAGUAAAAAAGAUUAUUAUUCAUUUAUUUUCUCUCCUUCAAAAAAAAGUUUUUCAAUUGCAAAAUAUGAUAAAUCGUGUUUUAGUGACUCA